Molecule: ribosomal RNA, 478 nt
Filed under: uncultured bacterium
Lineage: Bacteria
Description: partial 16S ribosomal RNA
Rfam family: Bacterial small subunit ribosomal RNA
Source: RNAcentral
GAUGAACGCUGGCGGCGUGCUUAACACAUGCAAGUCGAACGGGAAAUAUUUCAUUGAGACUUCGGUGGAUUUGAUUUAUUUCUAGUGGCGGACGGGUGAGUAACGCGUGGGUAACCUGCCUUAUACAGGGGGAUAACAGUCAGAAAUGGCUGCUAAUACCGCAUAAGCGCACAGAGCUGCAUGGCUCAGUGUGAAAAACUCCGGUGGUAUAAGAUGGACCCGCGUUGGAUUAGCUAGUUGGUGGGGUAACGGCCCACCAAGGCGACGAUCCAUAGCCGGCCUGGGAGGGGGAACGGCCACAUUGGGACUGAGACACGGCCCAGACUCCUACGGGAGGCAGCAGUGGGGAAUAUUGCACAAUGGGGGAAACCCUGAUGCAGCGACGCCGCGUGAAGGAAGAAGUAUCUCGGUAUGUAAACUUCUAUCAGCAGGGAAGAUAGUGACGGUACCUGACUAAGAAGCCCCGGCUAACUACGUG